Molecule: ribosomal RNA, 403 nt
Filed under: uncultured bacterium
Lineage: Bacteria
Description: partial 16S ribosomal RNA
Rfam family: Bacterial small subunit ribosomal RNA
Source: RNAcentral
AUUGAACGCUGGCGGCAGGCCUAACACAUGCAAGUCGAGCGAGCGGCGGACGGGUGAGUAAUGUAUGGGGACUGCCCGAUAGAGGGGGAUAACUACUGGAAACGGCGGCUAAUACCGCAUUCUGUCGGCUCCCCCAUAUGGGAGUAGCUAGUGGGUAAGGUAAUGGCUUACCUAGGCGACGAUGCCUAGCUGGCCUGAGAGGAUGAUCAGCCACACUGGGACUGAGAAACGGCCCAGACUCCUACGGAGGAAGCAGUGGGGAAUAUUGGACAAUGGGCGCAAGCCUGAUGCAGCCAUGCCGCGUGUAUGAAGAAGGCCCUAGGGUUGUAAAGUACUUUCAGUCGGGAGGCGUUACCGACAGAAGAAGCACCGGCUAACUCCGUGCCAGCAGCCGCGGUAAUUC